GCAAACUUGGUCAUUUAGAGGAAGUAAAAGUCGUAACAAGGUUUCCGUAGGUGAACCUGCGGAAGGAUCAUUAAUGAAUGACUUGGUCGAGCUGUUGCUGGUCCUUCGGGGCAUGUGCACGCUCGCCGCCAAUUCUCAACCACCUGUGCACCUUCUGUAGACUGGAAACGUUUCUCGAGGCAACUCGGAUUUGAGGACUGCCGUGCGCAAGCCGGCUGUCCUUGUGUUUCUCAGUCUAUGUUUUCAUAUACUCCGAAUGUAUGUAUCAGAAUGUAUUGCUGGGCCUUUGCGCCUUUAAAUCAAAUACAACUUUCAACAACGGAUCUCUUGGCUCUCGCAUCGAUGAAGAACGCAGC
Molecule: unclassified non-coding RNA, 356 nt
Filed under: uncultured fungus
Lineage: Eukaryota; Fungi
Description: partial contains small subunit ribosomal RNA, internal transcribed spacer 1, and 5.8S ribosomal RNA
Rfam family: Eukaryotic small subunit ribosomal RNA (bases 1-73)
Source: RNAcentral